This 490-nucleotide ribosomal RNA is filed under the name uncultured bacterium. RNAcentral describes it as "partial 16S ribosomal RNA". It matches the Rfam family "Bacterial small subunit ribosomal RNA", at positions 29 to 507 of the family's 1533-position model. The record is from RNAcentral.
AGUGAACGCUGGCGGUAGGCCUAACACAUGCAAGUCGAACGGCAGCACAGUAAGAGCUUGCUCUUACGGGUGGCGAGUGGCGGACGGGUGAGGAAUACAUCGGAAUCUACUUUUUCGUGGGGGAUAACGUAGGGAAACUUACGCUAAUACCGCAUACGACCUACGGGUGAAAGCAGGGGAUCUUCGGACCUUGCGCGAUUGAAUGAGCCGAUGUCAUUAGCUAGUUGGCGGGGUAAAGGCCCACCAAGGCGACGAUCCGUAGCUGGUCUGAGAGGAUGAUCAGCCACACUGGAACUGAGACACGGUCCAGACUCCUACGGGAGGCAGCAGUGGGGAAUAUUGGACAAUGGGCGCAAGCCUGAUCCAGCCAUACCGCGUGGGUGAAGAAGGCCUUCGGGUUGUAAAGCCCUUUUGUUGGGAAAGAAAAGCAGCAGGUUAAUACCCCGCUGUUCUGACGGUACCCAAAGAAUAAGCACCGGCUAACUUCGUG